RNAcentral lists this ribosomal RNA (468 nucleotides) under uncultured bacterium. RNAcentral's name for it is "partial 16S ribosomal RNA". It matches the Rfam family "Bacterial small subunit ribosomal RNA", at positions 28 to 507 of the family's 1533-position model. The record is from RNAcentral.
GACGAACGCUGGCGGCGUGCUUAACACAUGCAAGUCGAACGGAAAGGCCCUGCUUUUGUGGGGUGCUCGAGUGGCGAACGGGUGAGUAACACGUGAGUAACCUGCCCUUGACUUUGGGAUAACUUCAGGAAACUGGGGCUAAUACCGGAUAGGAGCUCCUGCUGCAUGGUGGGGGUUGGAAAGUUUCGGCGGUUGGGGAUGGACUCGCGGCUUAUCAGCUUGUUGGUGGGGUAGUGGCUUACGAAGGCUUUGACGGGUAGCCGGCCUGAGAGGGUGACCGGGCACAUUGCGACUGCGAGACGGCGCAGAAGCCUACGGGAGGCAGCGGUGGGGAAUAUGGCGCAAUGGGCGGAAGCCUGAUGCAGCGACGCCCCGAGCGGGAUAACGGGCUUCGGGUUAUAAACAGAUUUGGACUGAGAUGAAGAGAGAGUGACGGUAAUGGGUCAAGAAGCAACGGCUAACUACGUG